AGGAGAGUGGCUUAGUAGUUUGAAUAUUGGACUAUGACUCUGGAGACCAAGGUUCGAUUCCCAGCUCAGCCA
Molecule: non-coding RNA, 72 nt
Organism: Phrynosoma platyrhinos (Desert horned lizard)
Lineage: Eukaryota; Metazoa; Chordata; Lepidosauria; Squamata; Phrynosomatidae
Source: the annotation of a GenBank genome assembly